This 485-nucleotide ribosomal RNA is filed under the name uncultured bacterium. RNAcentral's name for it is "partial 16S ribosomal RNA". It matches the Rfam family "Bacterial small subunit ribosomal RNA", at positions 28 to 523 of the family's 1533-position model. The record is from RNAcentral.
GACGAACGCUGGCGGCGUGCUUAACACAUGCAAGUCGAACGGUGAAAGCGGAGCUUGCUCCGCUGGAUCAGUGGCGAACGGGUGAGUAACACGUGGGCAACCUGCCCCUCACUUCGGGAUAACUCCGGGAAACCGGGGCUAAUACCGGAUAUGACCUCCUUGGGCAUCCUUGGAGGUGGAAAGUUUUUCGGUGAGGGACGGGCCCGCGGCCUAUCAGCUUGUUGGUGAGGUAGUGGCUCACCAAGGCGACGACGGGUAGCCGGCCUGAGAGGGCGAAAGGCCACACUGGGACUGGGAGGCGGCCCAGACUCCUACGGGAGGCAGCAGUGGGGAAUAUUGCGCAAUGGGCGAAAGCCUGACGCAGCAACGCCGCGUGCGGGAUGACGGCCUUCGGGUUGUAAACCGCUUUCAGCAGGGAAGAAGCCGCAAAGUGACGGUACCUGCAGAAGAAGCACCGGCUAACUACGUGCCAGCAGCCGCAGUAA